AUAAUACUGCCACCGGGCAGCGGAAUGAAAAACAUUCGUUUACACAUCGUUAGGUCUUUGAAGAUGUGUAUGCGGGUGUUUUUUUUGA
This 88-nucleotide non-coding RNA is filed under the name unclassified sequences. The record is from RNAcentral.